This 13169-nucleotide long non-coding RNA is filed under the name Medicago truncatula (barrel medic). RNAcentral's name for it is "long non-coding RNA (MTRU_LNC000993)". Lineage: Eukaryota; Viridiplantae; Streptophyta; Magnoliopsida; Fabales; Fabaceae. The record is from RNAcentral.
GUCCUUGAAUUUGUUGUAGACGGGACCAACAACAGUGGUUACGGUUCCCUCCACUGUUUCAACAGCGGAUCUCAAAGGUCCCGAGUUCUUCUUAGCGGAUUCAUACAGAUAUGAGACAAACACAUAAGUAUGAAUAGCAGCGAUCUUCACAAACCCAAGGCGCUUUAGUUCUUUGUUCUUGUUCUCAACCUUCAGAAAUUACAAACUUCAACUCUAUUAAACAACAAAAAAUCGCAGAAACAAACAAAAUUAAGAAAAGCUAAAAAUAUAACUAUGCUAACAACCUCGUUGGUGGCCAUUGAUUAGUCUGUGAUGGAACUUGUUUUGUAAGAGGUAAAAAUCAAUUAUGUUUUAUAAUGAAACAGCAACAAAAGGCCCACGGAAUGGAGUGAAACAAACGGUGAGAAAUAGGAUUUGGAGAGAAAGAUUUUCAACCUUGUUUGAUUGUGAUUUGAUUUUGGUGUUAAGACUCAAGGAAUAGGGCGGCUUAUAUUAGCAUCUCAAUCUCAUCUUUUGCCAUAAUAAAUCAAAAACAUCAUUCUGCGUUCGUCAAGGUGGGGGCCCACAUUUACACCGACUCCUAGGGAUCUUUCUAGGCAAUACUAGGCGUUUCUAUAAGCCACGUGGCGGUUUCUCAGAAUUUGAGAAUUUUUUUUGGAGUUGAGGCAGUGACCGUGAUGCCACUCUAUGCGUAUUGAGUGUUUUAAGGAGUCACAUUUCUUUGUGUGGAUCCAUUUUUAUGUCAGGGGAUUAACAAACUGCUUGACUGAGUUGUUAAAUAAAAUUGUUAACAAAAGCAUUCAGAUAGGAAAUUCAAUUGACUUAGAAAUCAAUAUUACAACAUACUUGCAUUUGAUGUUAUAAAAAUUAGAAUCAAAUAUUUGUAUGAAAAACUAUCUAUAAUAAAAUUGUAAUAUCAACAUCAAUUAUAUCAAAAUUAGAUUGCAUUAUAAGAAGUGGACAUACAAAUAUGCAGCUUUAGAAAAUAAGAAAAUUAUGAAUAGACUAGACAUUUUUAGAAUAUAUACUGCGUUAGAGUAAAUUGGAUUGCAUUACAGUAUGAGUGGUGUCACAAAUUAUAAUUAUCAGUAAUCAAAUCAGAGUUACUUUCUGUUAAGUUACUAGUGGCUGUCAAUUGUAUCUCUCAAUAGUAUCUUUUGAUAUUGAUCAUAUACUAAACUCUUUCUUUGAACGCAACUUAGUGGCUGUCAAUUUUCAGCUCUGAUUGGUUCUUCCAUCCAAUGGAACCUUUCUAAGUUGAUAAGAUUCUAAUGGAUUUAAACUUUGGAGGUACAGAUAAUUAGUAAUUUCUCAAAAUAUAAUAUAUGGCAAACCUUAGGCCCGCUAAUGAAAUGGAAAAUGAAUAAACUACAACGAGUAGAAGAAGCUGGACGAUAAGGCGCUGAGAGCAGUUUUAUGAACUAAAAUUUUUAAAUAUAAAAAUCCUUGGAAGUAAAAUAGCAAUACUUGGCGUAAGCCAGUAACAAAGAAGUCGGACAAGAAAGCAACUAAAGAUUUUUCUUACAAAGCAUUGUCUCUAUGACUGUAUGCAUUACUAAAUGCUUAAUUGUAUGGUAUAUAAGUUUGAGAUGCGUAUCAGUUUUUGUUUGUGUCAUCCACAAAUACUGAGCAAUCCAUAAAUCAGGUUCAUGGAGCCUGUGAUCUCUGACGCUUCACACUUUGAUGGAUAGGAUCCUUGACCUGCAAUAGAAGGAUAGAAUGAAAAAAGUAAAAAAAUGUUCUGCAAUCAAUUAUAAAUUACAAGACAUUGAAGUAAAUAGUUGCAUAAGCGUGAGAAAUAAGGAAGCCAGAGUAUACCGCGCUUGCUUUCCUGGGGCGUUUGUCCUGGGAUGACCUACUGCAGAUAAUUGUAUCAGCUGCGUCGCCUUCAUUUGCAAUUCCAUUUCCAUUUGCUGUGCUGUUCUCUUUCCCGUGCGCAAAACUCUCUCUUGAAGCAACUGGCUGUAAUUGAAAAAUAAAUUACAUUAUCAGUUACAUGCUAGUAACAUUCAACCACAGAAACCAGUGCCAAAAAUCAUAGAAACUGAAAUAUCAAUCAAUCAAUAUAUAACUUGCCCCAACCCUGCUAGUUGGAGUGGUCCCUGGCUCUUUUGCCUUUGGCAUUUUCGGUCCACUCAUAGAGUCAGUAUCAUUUAACUCAGAUGUCACUUUCAUUCGUGUUAAAUCCGAUCCAAUGGAGUGGAGAACACCACAUGUUGAGAUGUCGCGGUUGCUACCUGUUUACCAAGAAAGCAGGCAUAUGAUAGUUGUAAGUUGACUAAGUAUCAUCAAUACUGAAAAGAAAGCUACAGAGUUUGUGGUAGGAUACAAAAUAUUAAUAGCCUUUACCACUCAUACGGUAACCAGCUUUUUUGGACUUGCUAUUUGGUUCACAGUGAUCAACAUCCUGUAAAAUUUUAAAAGGUGCAAUACGUAAACAAACUCAAUGAUAAAUGGUAAUAUGUAAUUAUAAACCCCAAAUGAUCCGCAGUUAUUAGUUAUUACCAUAGCUUCAGCAGCACCUAGAGCUUGUUGGACCUCAACAUAUUUACGCUCAGUCAACUCAGAAUGGAUCACACGUUUUCCUAUUAUACAGAAGUUAUAAGUAACCAAAAACAGAAGAAGACAAAAAACUGUAGGAUUAUUAUUUGAGUUGAUUAAUCUGAUACCUAGUCUUUUGCUGCCUUUAGGUUCAACAAACCCAUCCCUGGUCAUUUUUUCAAUUAUCUUUCUUGCUGCUGUUUGGCUUAUUUCUCCCUGGAAUGAGCUUUGAAGCUUGGUGACUGACACAUACGCCAUUGGAAGAGUAUGGUAGAGAGCCUGAGAUAUUUAUACAGCAGUUUAAGAGAUUCAUGAUCAUACAUUGUGUGGUUUACUGACUACAGACUCCAUCCUCUGACUCAUCAGAGAUGCAGAGUCUUUUCAGAGAUAUAAGGUACAUUUCACAAUGAGCAGUAAAUAAAACUAACUUGAAUGAGGACACAAUUUCAUUCUCUAUCCCAAGUUCAAAUAAAGUGUUAAGUUUCCUUUGGGGCCAAGAAACACCACUUUUAUACUUGAGCUGUUGAGCACUAGUUGUUGUGACUAUAGGUGGCAUAGAAUACAAUUUACAAGACAGCUAGGAUCUUCAGAUUUAUCACAUACACAAAAAAGAGGAACAAUUAAACUCACCUUCAUGUAUAUGAGAUCUUCACCCUGCAAAGCUCUAUCAAGGACUGGAGGAUUUUGACCAUCAAAUUCUUCUUUCACAAUGGUGAAUUCAUAUUCAGAUUUCUGAAAAUAAAGGGCAAUCAUAAAUAAAAUGGGAAAAAAAAAUACUACUAGAAUCAAAGUUCGUUCAAUUAAGAGAGAAAAAAAUAAACCUUGUCCUUCUUAAUAGCAUAAGUGUCAUUCCCUAUUUUUGAUAGUUCACCUUCCUUGACGAGGUUGUCCAUGAUCUCUGAAGAACGAAACAAAAUCAAGCAAAUGAGUAUGGAAAGGCAUGAAGUCUGCAGCACAUUGAACGUGGUGAUAGAAAUUUCUACCUUCAGUCAGAACCUGCAAGUAAAACAAUUCAAUUGAAAUUAUAUUAGACAAAAGAUUAGAAGAAUAGGAACUGAAAUUGAAGUUAGGCCAUAAUCUUAAAAAGGCCAAGCAAAAGCAUAAUCUGACUAGUCAGGGAAAAGGCUAGGUACCACUGAGAUGUCUGGAAAGUUUGAUAGAACAUCAGUAAGAUCAACGGUGUCAAGGUGACAACAGCUGAGCCACUCCUUGAUCCGAACCAAUUGUUGCUCAUCUUCAACCGGAUCCUGGGUAUUGUCUGAAAGAAGUAGAGUUCAUUAGCUAUUUUUAAUUAUAGGCUUAUAGCCUAGUAAUUGUAUUAACAGCUGCAUAGAACUAGAAAAAAAACUGCAGAGCCCUAUGAAAAGAGUGUUAUAAAUGCCAUUCCUCUUGGUCAAUUUAUCAUAUAAAUACUUACACACAAACAAUUUUAUGUUCGAGAGCAAAGAGCCUAGUUUACCUUCAUCAAUCUCGCCAUUAUCUUCCUGUUCUUGCUGUUUCUCUGUCAUUGUUAACUUGUUAAAAUAAUAUACUGGAGAAUAUUAAAUAAAUUGUGUAGCAAUAAGUAAAAUAAUCCUAAUCACCUAUGGGUGCAACAAUAUAUUGAUCCCCUUGGCCUUGAGUAUGAUCAACCUGAAAAUUGUAAAAUCUCAAAUUAGAGUAACACAUUUACUUUAGUGGUUCAUGUCUUUCAGUUACAAUCACAAAAAUCUUCACUGCAGUGACUAUAUCAAGCAACAUCCUCACUUACCUCACUGUCAGUAUCAUAAUAAUCAUUAUUCUGCAUUUCAUCAUCACUCAUAUCAUCUUGGAUUCCCUCAUUGUCAUCCUCACAAGGGUCCAGCACACUCUUCACCUAUAAAAUGGAAGAAGAUAUCGUCAGCAAAAACAUUAGAAAAAUAUUUAAAACUUGGCUUUGAGCAGGAUAUCCUUCAAUUACCUUCAGAGCUAACACAAAAUGCUUGCUGUUUACAUUCCCAACCUCCAUUUUCAGUGGAUUUUUCACCCAAGGAUGAUUUGCUUCUUCUUCACUGCAGCCCCUGAAGAAAGGAGGCUCAUAAUCUGAUGGCUGCAUGACAGACAAGUAUAAAAUGUGAAAUUUCCCUUAUAUUAUUCAGCACAGUGGAAUAACAGAAUGUUGAAAUGUUAACCAAUUGCAUAACAAAGCACAUGGUCAUUUUGUAUCGAUGUUGUUUUAACCAUUUCCCUAUUUAAACAACAACCUAGUCAAAAAUGCAUUUCAAGUCUAAAGUCUAGAGCCUAAACAGUUCAGCAAUCCAUAUGAGAGCUAAAGAAUUUCACAAACAAAUUAUAUGUAUCUGAGAUUUCCUAUUCCAUAUUAAAGAACAUACCGUCACAUCAUCAUAGUAGAGGAGCUUCAUCAGAAUGGUACGCUGAAAACAAAAUAGAAUUCAGUUUUUGCAAUGAAAUUAAGAAAUCUGAAGAGCGAAUUAUGUGGUGAUAAUGUGAUAUCAAGCUAAGCAUUCUAAUCCACUCACCUCUUCUGGCAUUUUCUCCAGAGUUCUCAUCAACUGAACUAGAGUUCUUAUCAUUUUGCAAGCAGAACUCCUAAAUUAUAUCACAUACAUAUAACAUUAGUCUAAUUAUCAUGAUAAGAUGAUACUAAUUCAGGUCCAAAUUAUAUUUUAAUUUGUAAAAACAACCUCAUCUGCUGGGGAGUGAUAUCAGUAGUUGAGUUACACUUGAAGGCUCCCCCCUGCUUUUUGCUUCCAGUGCGGUUGAUGUUCAUUGAAACCUCUUGCUUCUCGGAAUCUGAAUAGCUAAAGGAAACUGCAAGAGAAAAGUAGCUAUGUUUAUGAAUCUUCCAUAAGUGUCUCAAAUUAAAUUAUACUGGAAUCUACAUUUUGCAACUACCAUAUAUAGCAGUCUUCCUAAAGCAAUAACCUAUGUUCGGUAUUCAUUCAAAUACAAUUUCCCAAUUCCAUCACAUUCAAAUAACCUAUGCCAAAUCCUUACAUGCAUAUUCCUCAAUCAUCGGUCCAUCCACUGCUUCACACACACAGAAUAGAAGAGUCUUCAGGUACUUCUUCUGCAAGGCAUCGUAAACACCUGGAAAAGAAAUACAAUAAGUCAAAUCAAAACAAGCAAUUAAAACUCAUUUUCUAUAAGUUCAAUCAGAUAAUAUAGCUUAAACGUGCCUUUCUCCAUCCAAUCAAUCAGUCUCCGAGACUCCGCAUCGACCGGUAAAAGCUUUUUGAUCUUCAUCUCUGUUAUUAAAGCAUAGUUAUAGGUUAAAUUCAAGGACAAAUACUAGAAGAUUCAGUGUAAACAUUAAACAGUAAAAAACGCAAACAACUGGAGGACUGAAUAGUGAUUUUACCUAACGCGGGAACAGACUUGUCAUUGAAGUACUUCUCAGGAAAUAGUCCUCUGAUAUAACUGAUGUUGAAUAUAGCAAUUCGGAGCAGAUUCCUUGUCUGGUACACGAAAAUUCAAAUUAGAUUAUGAAAUUUCAAAAUUCGAAUUCCAUGUUCAGUGUUAAAUUAAUGCAUCUGAAAUUGAAGAAACUUGAUCCAUGAAAUCAACAUGUCUCCAUGUGACUCAAACCAAACUUCAAAAAGCAGAGAUUACAUAUUCUCAGAAAUACUUAAAAUAGCAAUGUAAUGAAAUUUAAGAUCGAGAACUCCAACUUCUAGAUCUCUGAUUUUACCGAACAUAAACGAAGCUUAAUUGUGAAUUCAUGUCAAAAUAGAUCAAAACAUUUUUACUCAUGAAAAAAGGUUUGGUGAUUGCUCAUAUUAGCAAAUGAAGUGCGUAGAAUUUGAUUAACAAAUUAACUAUGACAUUUCUACAAUUUUGAAACCUAAAUUAACUGAAGAAAUCACAAAAUGCAGUGAAAGCUAUAAACGAUGAACUUAUGCAGUAGUUCAACACAAAUAAAAUUAGCGAAAACUGAAUUAAAUUAAAAAAAUAAUUAUGAAGUUUAUACAAUUUUGAAAACUAAAUUAAGUGAAGAAAUAAAAAAAUUCACUGAAAACGAUGAAGAUGAAGUGAAAAUGCAGAAGUUCAACAAAAAUAAAAUACACAAAAAACGAAGAAAAACUCAGAUCCGUAUGAUUUUAGUGCUAUGAGAUGAAAAUGAAAACGAAGCGUUAGUUAAUCACCAGAAGAAGUGAAUCCUGCUCGGUGAUUUCAGCUUCCUUGAGUUUCUGUGCAACAACCUGGAAGAAUGAAAUGGAAGAUUAAGAAACCGUAGCAUGAGAGAGGAAGAUGAUGAAGAAAAUAGAAAGAAGAUUCGAGAAGCUUUUUGAAAUCACCAUGGUGGAUCAGUGGUUGAACACGAGAGUUACAAACUCAAAGAAAAAGGUGGAGAGAAGAGAACUCUGUUAACUAAUUUGUUAGAAAAUUUUGAAUGGAAAAAAGUAAUGUGGCGGGAGAGAAUGAAAAGUGUGAGCUAAGGUGUGUGUGAUAUUUAUAGGCUGAAGAGUGAAGGGUGAUCACAAAGAUGCACCACUACACGCGCUGGAACUGCUUCCGUUACGGUGCUGAAAGUUUAUUUAGAUACUGUUAAAUUUUUAAAUUUGAAAGUUAAAUAUGCCGUUUGAUUUGACGAUGGUUAGCUACUUGCUUGGUCACGCAUAUUUGGUUGGUGAGUGAAUUGGCGCGAAAAGGGAAUAGAUGAUUCUCUGCACCGUUAACUAACGACUGGUCCUCGUUACGAUGCACAAGUUGCUUCUGAUUGCAUGAAUUCGUUCAAUUUAACCUCAAAUAUGACCUUAUAAUUUAUUAUUUAUUUCAAAUUCUUUGCAUUUCUCAUAAGUUAAUCUCUGAUAUGGGGAUGUUAAUUGACUAGGACCACUCCCCGUUUAAAACCUUUAUUGGAAGAAGAAAAAAUGAGUCUCAUUAAGCAACGGACAACUAUAUAAGGAUCAUCUCUCUCAUAAGAAACUAACGGGUCGCACGUUUAAAAAGAAAUAAUAAAAUAUGUAUUAGUUGGUCUUAUUUACAAAAGAAGUAAUAUUUUUAUUACUUUUAAUUUGAGUCCUUAUUAGUAAAACAUAUUUAAGCUGGUGGAACCUAUUUAAGUAUAUUUGAUUGGAGUCUUUAUUAGUGUAUUGUCAUUGGAGUCAUUGAGUCCUUAAUAGCUACUUUCAUUAAAAAAUUAUAAAUAAGUAACGUGUACAAGUGAAGUCCAUUUAAGGAGUCUAUGUUAGUGUACUACCAUUGUGGAUGCUCUAAUAUAUUUAUUUCAAAAUAUAUGCAUUGAUCAUGGGCAUGAAACAAGUCAUUAGUUUCGGACAAGUGUUUUUAAGUUUUCACUUAUUUAUAUUUUGGCUUAACAGCAGUUAUGGCUCCCUAAGUAUUACGAUCUGACGAUUUUCUUCCUCUAACAAAAUAAAUUACAACUCAGCCCCCUAACCCUAAGUACUGCCUCUUUUGUAGUUUUGUCCCCCUAGGCCAAUUUUAACGGAGCCAACGCACACGUGGCACCACACUUAAGUGACUAGGAUGUCGCAUGUGUAAUUUUUUAAUUAAAAUAAAAUAAAAAAGCCAAAUAUAUAUUUAUUAAAUUAAAAAAAAUGGAAGAAACAACCAGAAAUUUCUCAACCUAAACAGCUUGGCGGCCUUGGGUUCAGAACGGCGAGGGAAACAAACAUUUGUUUACCAAGAAACUGGUUUGGGAUAUGGUUCAGUCAUCUCUUAAACUUUGGGUCCAGCUCCUCUCUGACAGAUAUGCCAUGGGUGUGAAUACGCUUUUGGCUUCAGCCCGUCCUAGUGUCUCUGUUAUUUGGUCUUCUAUCCUUCACGCUCGAGACGUCCUCAAAGAUGGUUUUUCUUGGCGUGUCGGGUCGGAUAACUCUUCAUUCUGGUCUUGUCCUUGGAGCUCUCUUGGCAUCUUAGGGCGCAUACCUCCUUACAUUGACAUCCAUGAUCUCCAAUUGACAGUGAAAGAUGUGAUAUCCUCAAAUAAUCCUCAUACAAAUAUCCUUUACACCCAACUUCCUCCCUUUGCGGCUGACACCAUCAACAACAUUCACUUCAAGUUCAAUGCCUCAGUAGAAGACACUUUCAUCUGGCACAACAACAAGAAUGGCACCUAUACACCAAAAAGCGGAUACAGUUGGCUUCUCUCUCGCAAGGAACUGGUAAUCAUCUCCAAUCCUCCUCCCUCUUGUUCUUGGAUUUGGAAGCUUCAUAUGCCGGAAAAGAUUAAAUUAUUCUUUUGGUUGGCUUGCCACAACUCGGUGCCGACUCUUUCCAUGCUCAACCAUAGAAACAUUGCUCCUUCCCCUGUUUGUUCUCGAUGUGGCCUCCACGAUGAAACUUUCCUCCAUUGUGUGCGGGAUUGUGCUCAUUCUAAAAGUAUUUGGCAGCGGAUUGGUUUUAUUCAUAAUGAUUUCUUCUCUACUUCUGUCACUCAUGAGUGGCUUAAGAACAACUCAGUGGGUCAUCUUUCCUUCACUUUUGCAGCAACUAUUUGGUGGGCAUGGAGGAAUAGAAACAUGAUGUGUCUUGAAAAUGAAAAUUGGACUCUCAAUUAUAUUUCUUACAACAUUCAAGGUAUGGUUGAUACUCUAAAAAUAUCAUUCCCUUCUUCUCGUAACAGUGAUAUAGAGGAUAGAUUUGUCAAGUGGAACCAUCACAAAUGGUGGUGUUCUCAGAAACGAUGCAAGGUUUUACUUGUCUUGGUUUUCUGGUUAUAUUGAAAACUCGUCCGACAUCCUUUAUGCGGAGCUUUAUGCCAUCUACCAGGGCCUCUUGCUUGCCAAAGACAAGGGUAUUAUGGAUCUUAUCUGUUAUUCUGAUUCCUUAUUAUGCAUCAAUAUCAUCACCGACCCCUUCUUGAAGUUCCAUGUUUAUGCCGUGUUGAUUCAAGACAUUAAAGAGUUAUUGGAGCAGGUUCAAGCAACUAUGAGUCACACCCUUCGGGAAGGAAAUCAUUGUGCGGAUUUUAUGACCAAACUUGGUGCCGCUUCCAACAUUGAUCUUGUUCGCCACGACUCUCCACCCUCGGAGCUGUUACCUUUCCUCCGGAACGAUGCUAUUGGCACUUUUUAUAUUAGACAUUAGUUCUCUGUUUUCUUUUUCUUUUUUGUUUCUUCCUUUGUUCCUUCUCUUUGCUUUUUAGCCAUUGUAACCAACAAAAAAAAAACCAGAAAUUUAAUGACAAGGAGAAUGGUUGAUAGAUAAUUUGGUAAUAUUUAACGAUGAGAGUCUCCUAUACCCCUUUUCUGGUUCAACGGUGUCAUUACAACUUUAAUGACAAGGAGAAUGCUGUUGUUAAUAUCAUAAUAUAAGUAACCGAAAGAGAAAAAAAAUCAUAAUAUAAGAAGUGUUACAACAAACAAAAGGGCUCUCCUUUCCUACACAAUGUUCAUCAAUGCACAAUUUAUUCAGACAAGAAAUCCCUUCCAUUUGUAUUCAAAGGAUGCACAGCAGUAGCAAUUUUAUCCCGGAGCUUGAACCUUUGAGCAAUUUUGGGCCGGACAUCAUCAACUCCUACCAAACUCUCCAAGAAAGGAAGUAAUAAAAGCAAUUCUUUAUCCGAAGGAUCGCCAAACCAACUCUUAAUUGGUAUUCCAUUGUCCACUUGGAAUCCAAAUGCCUGGGAACAAAGAAAAAUAACAGCAUAAAGCAUUAACAUUUACCAUUGUAAUUUUCAAGAACAACGUCCAAUCAUUUUUCUUUAAAUAAAGCCAAAUUGUAAAAUUGCAUAGCUUGGUUUUUUAUGUUAAGAGAUAUCUGCUAUGUACAUAAGGAGAAGUCACAAAAUUUUAUGCCUUUUCCAUAUAAACACAAUUCAGCUUUAAUUAUAUCUUCAAUGUCUAAGCUUUUGCUAAACUAAAUAAAAUAAAAAAGAACAUUGUUAUAUAUUUUUGCACUGUUGUUAUAAUAUUGAGUUGGGAACAUUCUAUAUAACUAAAGUUUUGAGACUGUUUAGAGAGUAAACAGCUCAGGUAUUCAGAGAGAUUUAACAAGAUACCGAAGGUUCCAAAUGCAACUAUAAGGGCGGCAUGUUAGAACUGUGAGCUAUAAUGAGUGUAACAACUAUAUCGAAGCCAAAACAUAUAAUACUACAAACAUACCCGUCGGGAGUUGUCAAUUAUCAUAACAUGUGCUAAAUCACAACCAAGCACUGUUAAAUCUUUGAGGUAAUUCCCCUCCACUUUAACACAAGAUUCACGGAAUACACGAUGGCGAAAUAUCUUCCGCUUUGGAUCAAGCAAAUUUAGGAGUUGCUCAGCAUAAAUACUUUGACUAGCUGUAAAUAUAAUAAUCUCAAAAAGACCAGAAACUCUCUCAAGGAAUUCUUUUAGGUGAGGACGGCAGCGUACAUAGACAAUGUACUCCUCAGAUUUAAAAUUCACAGUGAAAGUAAAGUCUACAUCCUCAGAAGGUUUCAGGGAAGAGUGCACCAAAGUUUCUGCAGAGAGAAAAAUACCAAAACAAAGCAUAAAAAUGAGCAGUUCAACCAAAGGUUGUGCAAGAGAAAAGGAAAAUAUGAAUGCGAUAAACUGAAAAAAAAUAAUUAUACAAACAGGAAGAAUAGAAAAAUCCAUUUACCACUCAAAAAAAAUAAAACAUGUUUACAGCUAGCAAGCAUUUUCAAAUAGUUGGAUAGCUUCAGAUACAAGAUCACUUUAAUUAAAUGGAGACCAGUCCUAUGCAGAAAGGUGGUUUUCAGGUUUUGCAUUACUAGAAGUCUAGAACUCACAGCCAAAAAGUUACAAGGCAGCUUCUUUAUGAUUAUACCAUUGUGAGUUGAAAUUAAAGCAUCUAAUUAGCAACUUAAAAUUGGGAUAUGACUUUCUUACCAUCCAAGUCCAGGACAAGAGUGAUAGGAGGGCAGCUCCGAGUCCAUGACUUGUAACAAAAAACACUAAGCAAACUUCAGAACCAUUUUAUCGCAAAUUUACAUGAUCACUAUCACUAUUUUUAGAUACUUGGAUUAAUUACAAGAUCUUACUAAUUAACGUCAAACAUUCAUAGCCACAACUAGGCCCAAAUUGUCUCAACAUAGAAAACAAAGUCGCUUAGAAGCAAAUUUUUUAGAAGAGUAAAACUCAAUCAGUAUAAGAUUAUUUUGAUUUCUUAUCCUUAACUUCUCCCUUCUUAAAUGCCUUAGAUAUAUCAUCAAUAGGAAUCAAAGCUAAAUACCCAACAAAACUAUAACCCUUUCCAGCCAUGUCCUUGAUUGCAUGGUUGUAUUUCUUAGACCAGUGAGCGGCAGUGGGAAUUGUCAUCUCUGCUGCUGCAUGGAAUGGUGGAAAUUUGUUGAGUCCAGUCCAAAGCUUCACUGAAUUAAUUAGUAGCAAAUUCUUGGUCUCUGUAGCAACAUAAUCUACAGCUGCUCUUGGUCUUCCAACUUUCCCUGCCUCAUGUGUUACUUUCUGAAUCAAGAAUUUUGUUUUGUCUGUAAGCUGCUUAGCAAUAUGAGUAGCAUGCUCACUGAACUUGUCGGUUGCUUCAUCCACCUACUCAAAUCAUAUGCUAGUCAGUUAAUUCAACCACAUCUUAAUAAAUUAAUGAGUCAGUCACUAAUUCAUUUAAAAAUUAUCAGUCUAGUAUGUUUGAAUACUUGUUUUUGUUUUAAUCUGAAAUUGAUUUUACCUUUAAUUAAAAAAAUAUAAGUUAAAAAGUUACAGUCAGUUUUAAAUCAAAGUUAAUUUUUAGAUUAAGAACAAACCAAUCAUCCUGAAAACGCCAAAAUCACAAUGGACUAGAAAUUACAUAUAUAGUAGGUGAGCUCUAAACUCAGAGUGCCAGUUGCCUGUCGCUUAAGCAAAUUUUACUAAUCAAUUAUAUGGAAUCAAAUUUGCAGCCAAACACAUACACUUCAAGGUUUUAGGGUUGCUUUAGCAAAAUAAUCAAGCGUCGUUUCAUGACAAUAAAAAUGGAAUGAUAAAAAAAUUGAGAACUUUGUUUUAUUCAUUUGGCUGGCCAAUGAUGAAUCAAGGAAAUUCCACACCUAAUAUUUCAGCAAGCUGCUGCAUAAGGUUUGUCCAACCAAACCUUUGUUGAUUUCAAAUCAAGCUAUUAUUACUCACUAAAAUACUAGCAUGAAGUUUUUUGUUUUUCCUAUUUUCUAAGGAAAUCAUCACCCUAAAUACAACAUACGUCUUGUGUAGUCGCAAUUUUGACAAAAACUGUACACUUUAAAACUUCAUCAAAAUCAAGGUGUUAGUUUGACACUGAUUUUAUCAAACUCACCUUUAUUUCAAACAUAUUGAUCAUGAUGUUAGUUACAAAAAAAACAGUACGAAUAUUAUACAAAGCUUUCUCCCAAAUUCGCUUUAUCAGUCUAAAUUAGAUCCAUGGGAAAAACCAGAAAGGUUUACAAAUACAUACAAAUAAAGCACAGAUUCAAUCUAAAUUAUUAAUCUGAAAGCAAAGGGAGAGAAAAUCACCUUGUUGUCAACAAAAACAAGGACAUCAUCAGGGACGUCCUUGAAUUUGUUGUAGACAGGACCAACAACAGUGGUUACGGCUCCCUCCACUGUUUCAACAACGGAUCUCAAAGGUCCCGCGUUCUUCUUAGCGGAUUCAUACAGAUAUGAGAUAAACACAUAAGUAUGAAUAGCAGCGAUCUUCAAAAACCCUAGGUGCUUUAGUUCUUUGUUCGUGUAUUCAACCUUCAGAAAUUACAAACUUCAACUCUAUUAAAC